RNAcentral lists this transfer RNA (73 nucleotides) under Bipes canaliculatus. RNAcentral's name for it is "tRNA-Trp". The record is from RNAcentral. Lineage: Eukaryota; Metazoa; Chordata; Lepidosauria; Squamata; Bipedidae.
AGAAGCUUAGGUUACGCCAUUUUAAACCAGAGGCCUUCAAAGCCCCAAACAAGACCAAACGUCUUAGCUUCUG